UACGUAGGGGGCAAGCGUUGUCCGGAUUUAUUGGGCGUAAAGAGCGUGUAGGCGGCCUGGAAGGUCAGCUGUGAAAACUCGAGGCUCAACCUCGAGACGUCGGUUGAAACCACCUGGCUAGAGUCCGGAAGAGGAGAGUGGAAUUCCCGGUGUAGCGGUGAAAUGCGCAGAUAUCUGGAGGAACACCGGUGGCGAAGGCGGCAUCCUGGACCAACACUGACGCUGAUGAGCGAAAGCCAGGGGAGCAAACGGG
RNAcentral lists this ribosomal RNA (253 nucleotides) under uncultured bacterium. Its description in RNAcentral is "partial 16S ribosomal RNA". It matches the Rfam family "Bacterial small subunit ribosomal RNA", at positions 524 to 776 of the family's 1533-position model. The record is from RNAcentral.